RNAcentral lists this ribosomal RNA (751 nucleotides) under uncultured bacterium. RNAcentral describes it as "bacterial SSU rRNA". It matches the Rfam family "Bacterial small subunit ribosomal RNA", at positions 478 to 1230 of the family's 1533-position model. The record is from RNAcentral.
UNUUACCAGAAAGGGACGGCUAACUACGUGCCAGCAGCCGCGGUAAUACGCAGNUCCCGAGCGUUGUCCGGAUUUAUUGGGCGUAAAGCGAGCGCAGGCGGUUAGAUAAGUCUGAAGUUAAAGGCUGUGGCUUAACCAUAGUACGCUUUGGAAACUGUUUAACUUGGGUGCAGAAGGGGAGAGNGGAAUUCCAUGCGUAGCGGUGAAAUGCGUAGAUAUAUGGAGGAACACCGGUGGCGAAAGCGGCUCCCUGGUCUGUAACUGACGCUGAGGCUCGAAAGCGUGGGGAGCGAACAGGAUUAGAUACCCUGGUAGUCCACGCCGUAAACGAUGAGUGCUAGGUGUUAGGCCCUUUCCGGGGCUUAGUGCCGCAGCUAACGCAUUAAGCACUCCGCCUGGGGAGUACGACCGCAAGGUUGAAACUCAAAGGAAUUGACGGGGGCCCGCACAAGCGGUGGAGCAUGUGGUUUAAUUCGAAGCAACGCGAAGAACCUUACCAGGUCUUGACAUCCCGAUGCCCGCUCUAGAGAUAGAGUUUUACUUCGGUACAUCGGUGACAGGUGGUGCAUGGUUGUCGUCAGCUCGUGUCGUGAGAUGUUGGGUUAAGUCCCGCAACGAGCGCAACCCUUAUUGUUAGUUGCCAUCAUUCAGUUGGGCACUCUAGCGAGACUGCCGGUAAUAAACCGGAGGAAGGUGGGGAUGACGUCAAAUCAUCAUGCCCCUUAUGACCUGGGCUACACACGUGCUACAA